This 936-nucleotide long non-coding RNA is filed under the name Anas platyrhynchos platyrhynchos (common mallard). RNAcentral describes it as "lncRNA (ENSAPLG00000020350.1)". Lineage: Eukaryota; Metazoa; Chordata; Aves; Anseriformes; Anatidae. The record is from RNAcentral.
AUGGUCAGGAUGCUCAGGUUGUCCCACCAGAUGCCAAGCAAAUUUCAUAUGAGGCCCCCCAGAACUUGCAUCCCACUGCUUUCAAGUGGACGUGGGCUUCUAAGCACGGAGAUUUUUGAAGUGGGAACUCUGGCAACUCUUCCCUUGGAUGUUUUACUUCCCUUUAUGUUUUACUGCUCUGAUGUUUCUUCAGGCCUUGCCAAGACUAAGCUGCUUCUACAAGUUUGUAACCAUAUUGAAAAUAUGAAACCGUUCACGCUCGAUGCAUUUGGAGUGGUCUUGCAAAGACACAAAGUUAACAAUAACAAGAUACACAGGGUUAUUGAUCAUAAGGUAACCUAUCCCAUCACAGUUAAAAUGUAUAGACCCAUGCCCAAGGCCCCCAAACCAGCUCGAGGUGAUGCUGAACCGAAGCCUGCCUCCCGUACUUCUCACAAUAUCCUACUUCUGAAGCACGUUGUCUUGCAGCCUCAUCGAGGCGGGAGACCUAAUUCGUCAUUACAAAGAAGCCUUCCAUCUUUUCAAGUAAAAGCAUCGCACUUAUCGCAGGGCCAGGAAGCUGAAGGCUGGCAGCGCUGAAGCGACGAUACCCUUCAGCCAAAAAAAGCAUUGUUCAGUGGCUAAUGUUAUAUGUUACGUGGCUAACACCGGACUGGGUGUGCUCUGAAUCGCACGAAGCGUAUGAACGCAUCUAAGCGACACGAGGCUGUGGUGGUUACAUUAAAUAUAAACGUGUUAAAUGUAAACGUGUUAAAUGUAAAUACGUUAAGUAUGUUAAGUAGGAAUGUGUUAAAUAUAAAUACGUUAAACAUGAAUUCAGUGCCCAUUUUGCCGGGGGAGGCAUAUCGGGGCUGUACGAAGCGAAAAAAACCCUCACUUUUAACAAAACCCCUCAGCUCCCCCCCCACCCCCGGCCGCCAUUUCAAAGCCGCCCCC